UACCCCACCUUUCCUCCAGAUUGGAGACUUGCAGUGUUUUGGUGGUCAAGGAAUCACACACCCCUGCACCUUUGGAAGUUUUAAGCAACAUCACAGGAAUCUUCAUAGGACCAAGGUUUAAAAGCUUAAUUGACAGGUGCUUUCACAUAGAACCAGAAACAGUUCUUUUCAGAACAGCGGAGUAAUCCAGUGCCAGACUUCUCAGAGCCACCUGGUCUUUGAAGAGUAAUCAUGUGUGUGGAUAGCUGUAAGAAUGACCAAGGUACAAAAAAACAUACAAGCAAAAUUAAUCCCCUGGACAUCUAAGGAAGAGGGAGGAAAACACACACUACCUU
Podarcis muralis (Common wall lizard) is the source of this 335-nucleotide non-coding RNA. NCBI's taxonomy places the organism in Eukaryota, Metazoa, Chordata, Lepidosauria, Squamata, Lacertidae. The record is from RefSeq and is a predicted model, not a curated record.